UGGGGAAUAUUGGACAAUGGGCGAAAGCCUGAUCCAGCCAUGCCGCGUGUGUGAAGAAGGUCUUCGGAUUGUAAAGCACUUUAAGAUGGGAGGAAGGGCAGUAAGCGAAUACCUUGCUGUUUUGACGUUACUGACAGAAUAAGCACCGGCUAACUCUGUGCCAGCAGCCACGGUAAUACAGAGGGUGCAAGCGUUAAUCGGAAUUACUGGGCGUAAAGCGCGCGUAGGUGGUUCGUUAAGUUGAAUGUGAAAGCCCCGUGCUCAACCUUGGAUCUGCAUCCAAAUCUGGCGAGCUUGCAUAGGGCAGAGUGUGGUUGAAUUUCCUGUGUAGCGUUGAAAUGCGUAGAUAUAGGAAGGAACACCAGUGGCGAAGGCAACCACCUGGGCUCAUACUGACACUGAGGUGCGAAAGCGUGGGGAGCAAACAGG
RNAcentral lists this ribosomal RNA (429 nucleotides) under Pseudomonadota bacterium. RNAcentral describes it as "Proteobacteria bacterium partial 16S ribosomal RNA". It matches the Rfam family "Bacterial small subunit ribosomal RNA", at positions 355 to 776 of the family's 1533-position model. Lineage: Bacteria; Pseudomonadati; Pseudomonadota. The record is from RNAcentral.